UCUCAGUUCGGAUCGGAGUCUGCAACCCGACNCCGUGAAGCUGGAUUCGCUAGUAAUCGCGCAUCAGCCAUGGCGCGGUGAAUACGUUCCCGGGCCUUGUACACACCGCCCGUCAAGCCAUGGAAGCCGGGGGUGCCUGAAGUGUGCAGCCGCAAGGAGCGCCCUAAGGUAAAACCGGUGACUGGGGCUAAGUCGUAACAAGGUAAC
Molecule: ribosomal RNA, 207 nt
Filed under: uncultured bacterium
Lineage: Bacteria
Description: partial 16S ribosomal RNA
Rfam family: Bacterial small subunit ribosomal RNA
Source: RNAcentral